This 83-nucleotide unclassified non-coding RNA is filed under the name Pseudomonas sp. Z003-0.4C(8344-21). Lineage: Bacteria; Pseudomonadati; Pseudomonadota; Gammaproteobacteria; Pseudomonadales; Pseudomonadaceae. The record is from RNAcentral.
UGUAGGAGUGAGCCUGCUCGCGAUAGCGGUGUGUCACUCACCGCUGAUAUUGAAUGGCUAUCGCGAGCAGGCUCACUCCUACA